GUGUGUGUGUGCAUGCGUGUGUGUGUGUGUGUGUAGUGUGUGUUGCAGCACCCUGGUGUAGUGGACUGUGCUGUAGUGGGACUGGAGGACUCACUGAAAGGUCAAAUCCCUCUGGCGCUGUGUGUCCUCCGACACGAUUUUGUGAAGAGUAAAUCCGUAGUGAUGAAGGAGGUGGUCAGUUUGGUGCGAGAGAACGUUGGUCCUGUUGCUGCGUUCAGGAACGUUCUGUUUGUCAGAGCUUUACCCAAAACACGCUCAGGAAAAAUCCCACGAUCCUCUCUGUCCUGUCUGAUCAACAACAAGCCGUAUAAGAUCAGUCCCACCAUUGAGGAUCCUGCAGUGUUUAAGACCAUAGAGAAGGUUAUGAGGGAACAUCUAAAAGGACCUGGACAUUAACCACACACACACACACACACACACACACACACACACACACACACACACACACACACACACAGAACAGCCUUAGGGACUUUUGGUAUUCAGUCAGCACUCUGUGAACGAUGAAAUUCAUAAAAGAAAAACAAAAAAUUUUCGCAAAAAAUCAAGGUGCCUUUAAAAUGUGAACUAGGUGAUUAAACUGUGACAAAAUCUCAACUCGCUUAACUUCACUAACAUUAUUUACUUUGUGACGAGUCUCACUAGCCUUGUGACGCGUCUCACUAGCCUAACUUUUUUAAUUCUGUUCAGCGACGCUUAACUUUAUUAGCAUAAUGCUUACUUGCUAAAGGAAUUUGUUUAAAUCUGCUUGCUUUACUUUACUUUAUAACGUUAUUAUCUAAACUUUCAUAUUGUUACUAGCUUUAACGUCAGUACUGCUAGCUUCUUUCUCUUAGCCUAGCAGUAGCAGUGAUGUAGCAAGCUAACGUCACAUCUGUACGGUAAAACCCACACCAGCAGACCGACACUGUCGUUUGUUUGUAUACUGUACUUUUUAUUGACAAUAUGUUUUGAUCACCACAUAGUUUUGACCAAAAUACAAUCAAUAAUAAAUAAUAAUAAAAAAAAAAUGGACACAAAAUAAAUAAAAUGAUUCUCUGUAACGUGCAGAAAUAACUCAAAGACAGGAAAGAGGUUCUGUACAUGAGGUCACCCGGGCAACGCCUACAGAAAACAAUUCCACAUCUGUACACAGAAAUAAUAAAAUAAUUCACAGCAA
This is a long non-coding RNA of Tachysurus fulvidraco (yellow catfish), 1159 nucleotides long. RefSeq lists it as uncharacterized. The transcript has 3 exons. Lineage: Eukaryota; Metazoa; Chordata; Actinopteri; Siluriformes; Bagridae. The record is from RefSeq and is a predicted model, not a curated record.